GACGAACGCUGGCGGCGUGCUUAACACAUGCAAGUCGAACGGAAAGGCCCUGCUUUUGUGGGGUGCUCGAGUGGCGAACGGGUGAGUAACACGUGAGUAACCUGCCCUUGACUUUGGGAUAACUUCAGGAAACUGGGGCUAAUACCGGAUAGGAGCUCCUGCUGCAUGGUGGGGGUUGGAAAGUUUCGGCGGUUGGGGAUGGACUCGCGGCUUAUCAGCUUGUUGGUGGGGUAGUGGCUUACCAAGGCUUUGACGGGUAGCCGGCCUGGGAGGGUGGCCGGCCACAUUACGCCUGAGAUACGGCCCAGACUCCUACGGGAGGCAGCAGUGGGGAAUAUUGCACAAUGGGCGGACGCCUGAUGCAGCAACGCCGCGUGCGGGAUGACGGCCUUCGGGUUGUAAACCGCUUUCGCCUGUGACGAGGCGUGAGUGACGGUAAUGGGUAAAGAAGCACCGGCUAACUACGUG
Molecule: ribosomal RNA, 468 nt
Filed under: uncultured bacterium
Lineage: Bacteria
Description: partial 16S ribosomal RNA
Rfam family: Bacterial small subunit ribosomal RNA
Source: RNAcentral